UACGUAGGGGCCUAGCGUUGUCCGGAUUUAUUGGGCGUAAAGAGCUCGUAGGCGGUUCGGCAAGUCAGCUGUGAAAUCUCCACGCUUAACGUGGAGGGGGCAGCUGAUACUGCCGUGACUCGAGUCCGGUAGGGGAGUGUGGAAUUCCCGGUGUAGCGGUGAAAUGCGCAGAUAUCGGGAGGAACACCAGUAGCGAAGGCGGCAUUCUGGGCCGGUACUGACGCUGAGGAGCGAAAGCGUGGGGAGCGAACAGG
RNAcentral lists this ribosomal RNA (254 nucleotides) under uncultured bacterium. Its description in RNAcentral is "partial 16S ribosomal RNA". It matches the Rfam family "Bacterial small subunit ribosomal RNA", at positions 524 to 776 of the family's 1533-position model. The record is from RNAcentral.